RNAcentral lists this unclassified non-coding RNA (329 nucleotides) under soil metagenome. RNAcentral's name for it is "partial contains 5.8S ribosomal RNA, internal transcribed spacer 2, and large subunit ribosomal RNA". The stretch from base 1 to 120 matches the Rfam family "5.8S ribosomal RNA", at positions 35 to 154 of the family's 154-position model. The record is from RNAcentral.
GAUGAAGAACGUAGAGAAAUGCGAUAAGUAAUGUGAAUUGCAGAAUUCAGUGAAUCAUCGAAUCUUUGAACGCACAUUGCGCCACUUGGUAUUCCGAGGGGCAUGCCUGUUCGAGCGUCAUUAUAACCCCUCAAGCUCAGCUUGGUGUUGGGGCCUGCUGCACUGGCAGCCCUUAAAAUCAGUGGCGGCGCCAUCUGGCUCUAAGCGUAGUAAUUCUUCUCGCUAUGGAGUCCUGGUGGAUGCUUGCCAUCAACCCCCAAUUUUUCUAUGGUUGACCUCGGAUCAGGUAGGGAUACCCGCUGAACUUAAGCAUAUCAAUAAGCGGAGGA